AGUGAACGCUGGCGGUAGGCCUAACACCUGCAAGUCGAACGGCAGCACAGUAAGAGCUUGCUCUUACGGGUGGCGAGUGGCGGACGGGUUAGGAAUACAUCGGAAUCUACUUUUUCGUGGGGGAUAACGUAGGGAAACUUACGCUAAUACCGCAUACGCCCUACGGGUGAACGCAUGGGAUCUUCGGACCUUGCGCGAUUGAAUGAGCCGAUGUCGGAUUAGCUAGUUGGCGGGGUAAAGGCCCACCAAGGCGACGAUCCGUAGCUGGUCUGAGAGGAUGAACAGCCACACUAGAACUGAGACACGGUCCAGACGCCUACGGGAGGCAGCAGUGGGGAAUAUUGGACAAUGGGCGCAAGCCUGAUCCAGCCAUACCGCGUGAGUGAAGAAGGCCUUCGGGUUGUAAAGCCCUUUUGUUGGGAAAGAAAAGCAGCAGGUUAAUACCCCGCUGUUCUGACGGUACCCAAAGAAUAAGCACCGGCUAACUUCGUG
This 492-nucleotide ribosomal RNA is filed under the name uncultured bacterium. Its description in RNAcentral is "partial 16S ribosomal RNA". It matches the Rfam family "Bacterial small subunit ribosomal RNA", at positions 29 to 507 of the family's 1533-position model. The record is from RNAcentral.